RNAcentral lists this ribosomal RNA (1403 nucleotides) under uncultured bacterium. RNAcentral describes it as "bacterial SSU rRNA". It matches the Rfam family "Bacterial small subunit ribosomal RNA". The record is from RNAcentral.
AGAGUUUGAUCCUGGCUCAGGAUGAACGCUAGCGGCAGGCUUAACACAUGCAAGUCGAGGGGCAGCGGGGAGGAAGCUUGCUUUCUCCGCCGGCGACCGGCGCACGGGUGAGUAACACGUAUGCAACCUGCCCCUGUCAGGGGGACAACCCGCCGAAAGGCGGGCUAAACCCGCGUACAUGCCACCGGGGCAUCCCGGAGGCAGGAAAGGCUUCGGCCGGACAGGGAUGGGCAUGCGGCGCAUUAGGCAGUAGGCGGGGUAACGGCCCACCUAACCGACGAUGCGUAGGGGUUCUGAGAGGAAGGUCCCCCACACUGGUACUGAGACACGGACCAGACUCCUACGGGAGGCAGCAGUGAGGAAUAUUGGUCAAUGGGCGCGAGCCUGAACCAGCCAAGUCGCGUGAGGGAAGACGGUCCUAUGGAUUGUAAACCUCUUUUGUCGGGGAGCAAAAGACGUCACGUGUGGCGUUCCGAGAGUACCCGAAGAAAAAGCAUCGGCUAACUCCGUGCCAGCAGCCGCGGUAAUACGGAGGAUGCGAGCGUUAUCCGGAUUUAUUGGGUUUAAAGGGUGCGCAGGCGGAAGAUCAAGUCAGCGGUAAAAUUGAGAGGCUCAACCUCUUCGAGCCGUUGAAACUGGUUUUCUUGAGUGAGCGAGAAGUAUGCGGAAUGCGUGGUGCAGCGGUGAAAUGCAUAGAUAUCACGCAGAACUCCGAUUGCGAAGGCAGCAUACCGGCGCUCAACUGACGCUCAUGCACGAAAGCGUGGGUAUCGAACAGGAUUAGAUACCCUGGUAGUCCACGCAGUAAACGAUGAAUACUAACUGUCCGGGCCGAUUGAGGUCUGGGUGGUGCAGCGAAAGCGUUAAGUAUUCCACCUGGGGAGUACGCCGGCAACGGUGAAACUCAAAGGAAUUGACGGGGGCCCGCACAAGCGGAGGAACAUGUGGUUUAAUUCGAUGAUACGCGAGGAACCUUACCCGGGCUCAAACGACGGAUGGAUGUUUUUGAAAGAAGGCAGCCCUUCGGGGCAUCCGUCGAGGUGCUGCAUGGUUGUCGUCAGCUCGUGCCGUGAGGUGUCGGCUUAAGUGCCAUAACGAGCGCAACCCCCAUCGCCAGUUACCAGCAAGUAAAGUUGGGGACUCUGGCGAGACUGCCGGCGCAAGCUGUGAGGAAGGCGGGGAUGACGUCAAAUCAGCACGGCCCUUACGUCCGGGGCGACACACGUGUUACAAUGGCAGGUACAGAGAGAAGCGAUGCGGCGACGCAGAGCGGAACUUCAAAGCCUGUCUCAGUUCGGAUUGGAGUCUGCAACCCGACUCCAUGAAGCUGGAUUCGCUAGUAAUCGCGGAUCAGCACGCCGCGGUGAAUACGUUCCCGGGCCUUGCACACACCGCCCGUCAAG